This 484-nucleotide ribosomal RNA is filed under the name uncultured bacterium. RNAcentral's name for it is "partial 16S ribosomal RNA". It matches the Rfam family "Bacterial small subunit ribosomal RNA", at positions 30 to 507 of the family's 1533-position model. The record is from RNAcentral.
AUUGAACGCUGGCGGCAUGCCUUACACAUGCAAGUCGAACGGUAACAGGUCUUUCGGGCUGCUGACGAGUGGCGAACGGGUGAGUAAUACAUCGGAACGUGCCUAGUAGUGGGGGAUAACUACUCGAAAGAGUGGCUAAUACCGCAUGAGAUCUAUGGAUGAAAGCAGGGGACCUUUGGGCCUUGUGCUACUAGAGCGGCCGAUGGCAGAUUAGGUAGUUGGUGGGAUAAAAGCUUACCAAGCCUACGAUCUGUAGCUGGUCUGAGAGGACGAUCAGCCACACUGGGACUGAGACACGGCCCAGACUCCUACGGGAGGCAGCAGUGGGGAAUGUUGGACAAUGGGCGCAAGCCUGAUCCAGCAAUGCCGCGUGCAGGAUGAAGGCCUUCGGGUUGUAAACUGCUUUUGUACGGAACGAAAAGUCUUGGGUUAAUACCCUGGGAUCAUGACGGUACCGUAAGAAUAAGCACCGGCUAACUACGUG